AGAUCGGGAUAACACCUAGGAAACAGAUGCUAAUACCGGAUAACAACAGAUGAUGCCUAUCAACUGUUUAAAAGAUGGUUCUGCUAUCACUCUUGGAUGGACCUGCGGUGCAUUAGCUAGUUGGUAGGGUAACGGCCUACCAAGGCGAUGAUGCAUAGCCGAGUUGAGAGACUGAUCGGCCACAUUGGGACUGAGACACGGCCCAAACUCCUACGGGAGGCAGCAGAG
RNAcentral lists this ribosomal RNA (228 nucleotides) under uncultured Lactobacillus sp. RNAcentral describes it as "partial 16S ribosomal RNA". It matches the Rfam family "Bacterial small subunit ribosomal RNA", at positions 135 to 354 of the family's 1533-position model. The record is from RNAcentral. Lineage: Bacteria; Bacillati; Bacillota; Bacilli; Lactobacillales; Lactobacillaceae.